This 505-nucleotide unclassified non-coding RNA is filed under the name Porodaedalea pini. RNAcentral describes it as "sequence contains 18S rRNA gene, ITS1, 5.8S rRNA gene, ITS2 and 28S rRNA gene". The stretch from base 352 to 505 matches the Rfam family "5.8S ribosomal RNA". Lineage: Eukaryota; Fungi; Basidiomycota; Agaricomycetes; Hymenochaetales; Hymenochaetaceae. The record is from RNAcentral.
UUAUAUAAUGAGAGAAGUAUUAUAUGUGUAUCAGCAACGAAUGAGACAGUGUACGAGUACUAGUGUGACGUCGUAGAAUUAAUGCAUAACUUUUGAAAUAAGGGUUGAUAAUGGCUCCUAUUUAGGGAAUGUGCUCGGCCUUCCGCUUAUCCCCUCACCCCCCUGUGAACCUUAUCGAAGUUAGUAGUCUUUCCUCCUUAGUUGGAGCCGCCGGGGUUGACUUUGUUACUAGCGUUUCAACACUAAAGCAUAUGGUCGGCCUUGCCUGGGAUUGACGAACACUUUGACUUCAUCAUACACACUUUAAUUGUCUUGCCGCAUGCAAUGCUCCUUGUGGGCGAAAUGAAGUCCAACUUUCAACAACGGAGCUCUUGGCUCUCGCAUCGAUGAACCACGCACCGAACUGCCAUAAGUAAUGUAAAUUGCACAAUUCACUGAAUCAUCGAAUCUUUGAACGCACCUUGCGCCCCUUGGUAUUCCGAGGUGCAUGCCUGUCUAACUGUCA